This is a long non-coding RNA of Eptesicus fuscus (big brown bat), 441 nucleotides long. RefSeq lists it as uncharacterized. The record is from RefSeq and is a predicted model, not a curated record. The transcript has 2 exons. NCBI's taxonomy places the organism in Eukaryota, Metazoa, Chordata, Mammalia, Chiroptera, Vespertilionidae.
UAAGCCAGAAAGAGGGCAGAGAUGAGGCAGGGCCACCCCAGCCCCUCAUUACGUCAUCCUUCUGGGGAGGCUGGGAUCAGCCAGGGUGUGUGGAUGGCCACUGAGCCUUGUCAGACUGCAUCUUGGCCCAGUGGGCUUGGGGCGGCCCGCUUCUUCCUCCCACCCUCCACUCUGCCCCAAGGGCCGUCUUCAGGAAGCCUGCGACCAGCAUGAGGUGGAAGGAAGGGUGCUGUUCCCACCUGUGGUUGGUCAGCCUCAAGGAAAUUAAACUCACAGCCAUUGAGUGCCUCAUUGAUUGAACAGAGCAUAUAGGUGGCAGGGUUUCGGGUGGAAAUUGGUCAUCACCACCUAGAUAUAUGAUAUCUCCAAACCUGGCUAGUGAGAAGAACUUCCUGGGGAGCUUCUUAACAUCCAGAGUCAAUAAAUCAGAUUUUCCAGCGA